This 157-nucleotide small nuclear RNA is filed under the name Dasypus novemcinctus (nine-banded armadillo). RNAcentral's name for it is "U1 spliceosomal RNA (ENSDNOG00000027230.1)". It matches the Rfam family "U1 spliceosomal RNA". Rfam says of the family: U1 is a small nuclear RNA (snRNA) component of the spliceosome (involved in pre-mRNA splicing). Its 5' end forms complementary base pairs with the 5' splice junction, thus defining the 5' donor site of an intron. Lineage: Eukaryota; Metazoa; Chordata; Mammalia; Cingulata; Dasypodidae. The record is from RNAcentral.
GAACGGUUUUGGAAGGGGAGAUAAUAUGAUCAUGAAGGUGGCUUUCCCAGAGCAAGGCUUAGCCAUUGCACCCUGGAUGUGCUGACCCCUGAGAUUUCCCCAAAUGUGGGAAACUCGACUGCCAAGUGGUGGGGGACUACAUUCGCAAUGUCCCAAA